RNAcentral lists this ribosomal RNA (301 nucleotides) under uncultured bacterium. RNAcentral's name for it is "partial 16S ribosomal RNA". It matches the Rfam family "Bacterial small subunit ribosomal RNA", at positions 509 to 809 of the family's 1533-position model. The record is from RNAcentral.
CAGCAGCCGCGGGAAUACAGAGGGUGCGAGCGUUAAUCGGAUUUACUGGGCGUAAAGCGUGCGUAGGCGGCUUCUUAAGUCGGAUGUGAAAUCCCUGAGCUUAACUUAGGAAUUGCAUUCGAUACUGGGAAGCUAGAGUAUGGGAGAGGAUGGUAGAAUUCCAGGUGUAGCGGUGAAAUGCGUAGAGAUCUGGAGGAAUACCGAUGGCGAAGGCAGCCAUCUGGCCUAAUACUGACGCUGAGGUACAAAAGCAUGGGGAGCAAACAGGAUUAGAUACCCCAGUAGUCCCUGUCUCUUAUAA